UAGAGUUGAUUACACAUAAUGUACCACGAGUAUCUUCUUACUGAUCUAUCCAUACAAUGUAUGGCUGGAAGUUCAACAGUAACCCAAUUACCCAACUUGUACAAAUAUUAGACACAAACUCUGCAAAUCGUUUUUGGAAGAUGAGUCGUACGGAGCAUACAAGAUCUGUGGCAGAAAUGUUGGAGCAGAGUACAGGAGAACAAGCUGAAGAACUCAGACGCUCUAAGCAAAAGCGCCGCCGAGCUGCACGAUUCAGUGGCCCAAAGUGGACUGCUUGAUCUGAUGGUUGGCUCUGUAUCGUCUAGCGCAAGUCGGUGCGUCGUCGACAGCUGUCCCGGCCCUUGAGCGAGAGUUGUUUGCUUUGCCGUUGUUUUUUGCCAUUGGAAAAGUUUGUGACCUGUAACUCUGCUCUUCACCUCUUCCCCUGAAACUCUGAAUCUGGUGCCCUCUUUCUUCUGUGAAUUCUACUCUCUGUCUCUUCAUCUCUGUAUCCUGUGAACAGAGAAAUACCAAUCAGUUGGGCGCGUAUGCUGGAUCAUAACACAUGGCGAAUGUUAAACAACAUAAAAGUAAAAAUAAAAUUAGAAGAAUCUAAAUUUGCACAUAUUAGUAUAUCUUUUGUUUGUAGGCACAAAGGAGAUUUUUUGCGUACUCGAUAAAAGAACAAACUUGAGUGUUCUAAAGAAGGAUUUUUUUAGCAAUAUUACUUCUGUUUCCUUGUGCUAUCCGAUAGUUGCUUUGCCUGAAGAUUCUAACUCGUUUCUAUCACUUACAGGUUCUUCAUUGUAAUCGAUGACAUGCGGGAAGACUUUUGGGUCGAUAUAAAAGAUGCUUUCCCUGUUAUUCCUGGGGUCGACAGUAGAGUGCUCGUC
This 872-nucleotide long non-coding RNA is filed under the name Triticum aestivum (bread wheat). RNAcentral's name for it is "long non-coding RNA (TAES_LNC019743)". Lineage: Eukaryota; Viridiplantae; Streptophyta; Magnoliopsida; Poales; Poaceae. The record is from RNAcentral.